This 125-nucleotide ribosomal RNA is filed under the name Zoanthus gigantus. RNAcentral's name for it is "partial 18S ribosomal RNA". It matches the Rfam family "Eukaryotic small subunit ribosomal RNA", at positions 1725 to 1831 of the family's 1831-position model. Lineage: Eukaryota; Metazoa; Cnidaria; Anthozoa; Zoantharia; Zoanthidae. The record is from RNAcentral.
GCCGCCGCCUUGCCCUCGUCGGUAGGGCAGCGGAUUUUUGCCGAAAAGUUGGUCAAACUUGAGCAUUUAGAGGAAGUAAAAGUCGUAACAAGGUUUCCGUAGGUGAACCUGCGGAAGGAUCAUUA